This 2714-nucleotide unclassified non-coding RNA is filed under the name Leishmania donovani. RNAcentral's name for it is "gene:LdHU3.28.0960(CDS-product:hypothetical_prote in_conserved)". Lineage: Eukaryota; Euglenozoa; Kinetoplastea; Trypanosomatida; Trypanosomatidae. The record is from RNAcentral.
CAAAAAAAAAAGUGAAAGCAGAAGUACCCUGUUAGCACAUAUCCACGCGUGCCGAAGAAUCAAAGCCACCAUCACCACCUUUACUUCGCCAUGCAGCAUUCCCGACUCGGUCGAAAUACCAAUGGGGCCCUUGCCUACUCGCACCGCAGCAUCGACAGCGUCCCGGCCGACGAGGAUGCUCUCAAGGAGUUUUUGAGGUCACGUGGCAUGGAGGGCUUUGCAGCCAGUGCGUACUGGGGUGCCACGGGCGAGGUACCACCUCGUGCACCAGACGACGUCGCAUCCAAGCAGCCAUAUCCCUUUCAGGCAGAGAUCAACCGCAAGCUGGUGCCGCUCCCGAAGGACCAGACAAGCUACCCUCGCACGCUAGACUACACGAACGUCGGACUUCACUUGAUCCUAGACGACGGUAACAGCAACACAGGAGGUUUCAACGCAUCUCAGCUGCAGAAGCUGGGAGAGGGUGGCGCCGGCGGCGAUGGCCUUGGCGGCACACAAGGACAGGGCAACACCGGCUCGCAAAAGCCACGGUUCCUCACACUGCAAACUACCAAUCAGGCCAUCCCUCGCACCUUCGACGAUGGUGUGCUGGACGUGCUCCGCGCCGGACAGGCCAAGGAGGACGCUCUCAAGAAAGAGCUGGACAAUCUAGAGGCAACGCCGUACGCAAGCGGCGCUGCACCGGACGCUUUCCGUCUCACCUCAGACGACUACUGCGACUUCGGCAAGAUGGACCCGUCAGCGUACCGGCAGAAGGAUUGGAAGGAGGACGGGGAUGGCGUGUACGUCUACAAGAGCCGAUACAACAACGUCGAGCGCGAGGGGCCUCGGCGCCGCGAGCGCACGUUUCAGACCCUACAGCGUGGCCGCACGGUCGACCGUACGCAGCUACGUAGCACACUAGAAGAUAGCCACAAGCAAGCCCUGCCGCAAGGCUACGAGCCCUACUCAGCCAAGGACUGGAUGAGCACGACCCACCGCGAGCAUGCAGCCUACGAUGUUGCAGAGGCGCGCCACAUGAACAACCGCGACGCCACGGUGCCGCUGCGCAACACGCACUACGCCCUCUCUCCAGCCCAAGAGAUGGCGGUCACGCAGCGCGACGCUCGCUUUCAGACGCGCCACGAUGGGAAGUGGGCAACUACCUACUCAGCCGGGUACCAGGAUCGCUCGGCCGAGGCGGAUGUGUGUCACAAGUACGGCGCCAAGGCCGUUUUCGACAUUGAGGACGGCAUCUACACCAUUAAUCACGAGUACCACCACCCACGAAGGGAGGUGCGCACAGGUGAGACCUACACGCCAGCGGAAAUGGUGCCUGGGCAGUACACCACCAUGUACACCGAGCCACUGCCGGCUCCGAACAGCGUCAUUGGCAGCACUCGCCGCUGCUGAGGAAACUCAUGACUCAAGACGAGCAGAGCGGCGACGAAAAAGGCGCUACGGGGGGCAACGCCCUCGGUGCCGACAUCGUUUUGAUUUCCUGCGCGCGGUGCAGCUCCGAGGAUGACUCCAGACGCUGAGUAUGCGUGUCUGUGUCUCACAGAACUGCACGCACGCACCACGCAAGCGUUUCUUGUAUGCUCUCUUUUUCUGUUUUGCCUCUCGCAUCUGUCACCCCACUUCCCCUUCUUUGUCCGUUUGCCUGCUCAGAUGCAUGCCGCUCAGACUCGAGUGCUUGUGUGCGCAUCUGAGUCUGUUCUGUCUGACUCUACCUCACUGCGCAUGUGUAUGUAUGUGAUGAUGAUGCUUCAGAUACACGUUUCGCUUGUGUUCGCCUUUUUUCAUUAUUUGCGGUUGCUCUUGUCGUGCCUCUGUGUCUUCACGACGCUGCCAUGGAGAAGAGGGAAAGGAGAGCGGGCCGGCGAGAAGGUAGGAUGAAGCGACCGAGAGGGGCAUCGCCCCUGUUGCUAGGCGAGCCGAUUUCCCUGUCGCACGCUGCCCUCUGAUCCUCUUUCCUCGUCUCCCCAUCUUGUCAGAGAGCUCCAGCCUUGACAUGCACGCAUAUGUAUAAUAGCGCUUUCCCGCCGUUGAUUGCUUUGGCCGAGGAGCUCCUGCUGUGAAACAACGCCGCGCGGAGCCAAAGCCAUAAACAGUGUAUCAGUCGUAGCACCAACAACAAUCGGGCUGUGUGGUGGAGAGAGGUGCAUCAGAUACACCAGAGGACCUUUGUUGGUGCGCUGACAGUAGGCGCACCGAGUGCCUAUUCCAGAGAUCGCGUCUCUCUCGGUGAAAGCCACAUGCGCAUACACAGUCACACCAUCGCUGUCACUGCUCGUUUUCCUGCCUCUAUCGCGAUCGCGCCGUACUUUCCGUACGCGUGUGGCGAGACCGUCCUCUCCCUCUUUGCUGGUUCUAUGCGUCGUAUCAUACAAGCUCGCUUCACUUUCCCUCCGUCUCAUUAUUUUUCCUGAAUCCCUUUUCGUUUUUGCUUGUAAUCUGGCACUGCCAUUCCUGCGUGAUGGGGGUUGCGUGGCUGGUUGGCUAUCCAUUGCAUCCCUGGCACGAUGGCCCUCACGCACGUGCGUGUGUGUGUGCGUCUGUAUGCCUACAACUGCACACACACACAUAUAUAUAUAUAUAUAUAUGUAUAACAUGCGUCUAUCACCCACGAUCUGCAUCUACGGCGACUGCCUUAAUCGGUGUUGCUGUGGUUUUCCUCUGUUUUGUUUUUGCACGUUGUGCUUUGCGACUCGGGGGCGGUGCUUCUGCGCAAG